UCUAUUGCAACGUUGGAAAGAUGUAGCAAUAGCCUAUCUACUGCAAGCUAUUGCAACGUUUUUAAACAUUGCAAUAGAU
Molecule: microRNA precursor, 79 nt
Filed under: Olea europaea subsp. europaea
Lineage: Eukaryota; Viridiplantae; Streptophyta; Magnoliopsida; Lamiales; Oleaceae
Source: RNAcentral